Molecule: long non-coding RNA, 839 nt
Organism: Paramacrobiotus metropolitanus
Lineage: Eukaryota; Metazoa; Tardigrada; Eutardigrada; Parachela; Macrobiotidae
Exons: 3
Source: RefSeq, a predicted model, not a curated record
UAUACUGAAAUUUCCGGAAGCCGUUUUAAGUUCACCAUAAAUAUUCACUUGUAAAGACGAAUUGUUGCUGUUUACUGCAGUAUCGGCAAACUAUUUUUUCAUAAUUUUAUGUGGGAAACUACCAUAAUCUGCAUCUAUCGAAAGAGGAAGCCAGCUUAGCGGCGCAGACUCCUGAUGUGAGUCUCGCAAAGGAUUGGCUUGAAUAAUAUUGUAUUUUAUAUACUGGAGUUGUCCAGCUUUUGCUGUUGGAUUUGUCCAGCUAGUCUGUUCAAAUAGUAGCAGAUUAUAGAUAUGUUGCGAUCAUCACUAUUCAUUGCAACUAUUUUUGUGGUCCUCCUUUCGAGCGACUUGGGAAGUGUCUCAGCACUGAUGUGUUACCAGACUCCACUUUUCGGGUUGGGAAACGCUCAAGACCAGCAACUACUAAACUGCCCAGCCGUCUUCGCAGUACACCCAGCUUGCGUGAAAACUGUCAGCAUAAUAAACGGAAAAACAAAAAUUGCGAAGACAUGCUUGCCCUGGGCCGGUGAAAUGAAGUGCACUGAGGUUACAGAGGAAGGAGUGUACGGGGCGUCCUGUUACUGCAACACCGAUUCCUGCAAUGCAGCUAAAAAAAAUUUGGCCUCCAUUGGUGUCGCAUGUACCGUAGCUCUUGCUGCUGUUCGGCAUUUUCUCAGCGCUACCUGAAAGCUGAAACUGAUUAAAACAGAAUGUGCAAGACGUUCCUAUUCAUUCUUCGAUCAGCUAAAAAUUUUUUGGCGUUUGCUAACUGGCGUUUUGUGGCGUUUGGCGUUUGCUACUUUUCAUAACUGUGAUAAACUGAGUUUUAAAAGCAUCUG